Salvelinus fontinalis (brook trout) is the source of this 2404-nucleotide long non-coding RNA. RefSeq lists it as uncharacterized. The transcript is spliced from 2 exons. NCBI's taxonomy places the organism in Eukaryota, Metazoa, Chordata, Actinopteri, Salmoniformes, Salmonidae. The record is from RefSeq and is a predicted model, not a curated record.
ACAGGGCGCGCUCUCAGAGAUGAGCGGGGUGCAGCGGAUAUCAGAGGAAGCAAGCAACACGGUCUUUGCAACGGACCGGCUAGAAUAGGCUACGUAACCCGUCACCCGUGGGGCGCAGAUACGUGAGUGGACAGAAUAAGUUAGUGUGGCAUUGUUAAACACGAAUUAAAUUCUAUGGGACAAGAUGAGGUAGGCUAGAGAGAUUUACCCCCGUCCCGAGCGCCUGAAGUGAGACACCUUCAGACUGUGUCCUUGAUCAGCAUGAAUAGAGAGAUCCUUUUUGUCGCGCAUCUUCUCACGGACUACAGGGAUUUAUCGAUCCGAUCAGAUUACUGGGCUCUCGUUCCAUUCCAACUGUAAAGAUGAAGUCUGCUACGCUGUCAAGCCCCGCUGAAGUCAUCACCAUCCUUUGUAAAGAUGAAGUCUGCUACGCUGUCAAGCCCCACUGAAGUCAUCACCAUCCUUUGUAAAGAUGAAGUCUGCUACGCUGUCAAGCCCCGCUGAAGUCAUCACCAUCCUUUGUAAAGAUGAAGUCUGCUACGCUGUCAAGCCCCACUGAAGUCAUCACCAUCCUUUGUAAAGAUGAAGUCUGCUACGCUGUCAAGCCGCGCUGAAGUCAUCACCAUCCUUUGUAAAGAUGAAGUCUGCUACGCUGUCAAGCCCCGCUGAAGUCAUCACCAUCCUUUGUAAAGAUGAAGUCUGCUAUGCUGUCAAGCCCCGCUGAAGUCAUCACCAUCCUUUGUAAAGAUGAAGUCUGCUACGCUGUCAAUGUCACGUUCCUGACCUUUUUCUGUUAGUUUGUUGUAUGUGUUAGUUGGUCAGGACGUGAGUUUGGGUGGGCAUUCUAUGUUUUCUGUUUCUAUGUUGGUUUAAGGGUUGCCUGGUAUGGCUCUUAAUUAGAGGCAGGUGUUUGGCGUUCCUCUAAUUGAGAGUCAUAUUUAGGUAGGUUGUUUCACAGUGUUCGUUGUGGGUGGUUGUCUCCUGUGUCAGUGUUUGUCGCACCAUACGGGACUGUUCGGUUUGUUUUUGUACAUCGUCAUUUUGUGUAGUCUAUUUUUCCCUGUUCGUGCGUUCUUCGUGUUUUAUGUAAGUUCGCAUGUCCAGGUUUGUUUACUCUGUUUUGUUGUUUUGUUAGUUUAUAGUCAAGUUCGUGUUUUUUCGUCUUUCUGUAAAUAAAUUAUGUCAUCACAACCCGCGGCGCCUUGGUUCCAUCACUACUCCUCCUUUUCGGUUGAAGAGGAGGAGGACUACCGUUAGUCAAGCCCCUCUGAAGUCAUCACCAUCCUUUGUAAAGAUGAAGUCUGCUACGCUGUCAAGCCCCGCUGAAGUCAUCACCAUCCUUUGUAAAGAUGAAGUCUGCUACGCUGUCAAGCCCCACUGAAGUCAUCACCAUCCUUUGUAAAGAUGAAGUCUGCUACGGUGUCAAGCCCCGCUGAAGUCAUCACCAUCCUUUGUAAAGAUGUGUUGUUUGUUUGCAGCUCCACCAACUAGUCCAGAUGAAUUGGUUCACACCAGAGGUGGUUGCCAGCCCAGCUAAGGAUGUGUCCCAAUUGACACCCUAUUCCCUAUUCCCGAUACAACUCUGGUCCAAAGUAGUGUGCUACAUAGGGCAUAGGGUGUCAUUUGGGAAACAGACUAAGGCGUUGACUCUUCCCUUAAGUCAAAGCACCGACAGCUAACUCAUUUUUUGUGGCAAAGUGUCUCCGUUUAGGCUGAUUUUACUGACACACACAUCUUGUUAUUGACGCUAGCAGCAUCCUGUAGGAUUGAUGCCCACACCCUGGUACCAUAGAGAGGAAAUGGGAGGAGCUGGAACUGAAGCAAGAAGGGAGCAGGCUGGAUAGGAACCUAGAAUACUGGAGUGUCAUUGUUCUGUGUUGGGUUUCCAAAAUGGCACCCUAUUCCCUUUAUAGUGCAGUACUUUUGACCAGGGUGCACUAUAUAGGGAACAUGGUGUAAUUUGGAACGGAUUCUAAGUAUGCAACAAUAGAAACGUGGGGUUCUUAGCACAAUCAGGCUUUAUAACAUGUCUGUCAUAAGCCUUAAGCCACACUUUGUAUCUUGGUUUAUAUAUUGUGUUGUCUUCUUAUCAUACCUCCCCAUGGGUAGGCUGUCUAAUGUCUACAUUCUUCCUAGACAUGGGAUGUGUGCCAAAUGGUACCCUAUUGCUUAUGUAGUGCACUACUUUAUACCAGGUCGGGCUCUGGUCAAAGUUGUGCACUAUAUAAAGAAUAGGGUGCCAUUUUGGAAACACUUUUGGUAACAGAUGCUUCCCAGUCGAGCCAAUCCAUUGUCAUACCAUGCACAAUAUACCAUUGUAAGUCUCUUAUAUUAAUUCAGUGAAAAAGGGAACGUUUUUGUUGUUAUGUGAUAACAUUUUGAGUAAAGAUAUGCUUGGCACGUA